GACAUCACAAGACCUUAAGAAGAGCUAAACGGGCUGCCACCUGUAGCUGAAGAGUGCCUUAACGCCGAGGCCCACGGCUCCAUGCGAGAGAUGCCUGUUCCUUCUCUGAUAAAUUUGGCAGCUUCACGUACCCUAAGGCCCAGAAAGGACCUGUUUCCUCAACACCCUGACCAGCACAGAACAUUGUAAUAAUGACAAUUAUCAGUCAUUUAGCUCCAACUAAGCCCCAGAUAUUGUCAUAAAUUCUUUACAUAUAUUGAGUCAUAGAAUAAUCUCAAUAAUAUAUAAGGAUGUUCAUAUAAUCCACAUUUUACAGAAAAGAAAAUUGGAGUUGUGACCGAUUAAUCACAUAAUCACAGUCGUCUAAAUCACAUAGAUUGUAGAUGGAGGAAUAAGAAUGUCAGUGCCUGUGAUUGAAUGAAAAAUGCCCCAAAAGAUAUCCAUGCUCUAAUUCUUGGAAUCUCUGAAUAUUACCUUACUUUGCACAGACCCCCAAAAGGGGGGUCUUCGGAGAAAAAGUUAAAGAUGAAGAAAUUAUCCUGGAUUAUCCAAGUGGAGCUCAAAUACCAUCACAAGUGCCUUUAAUAGGGAGAGGCACAGGGAGAUUAUACAGUUACAGAAGAGAAGAAGACAAUGUGACCACACGGACACAGAUAGAAGCAAUGCCACCACCAGCCAAGGAAUGCGAGCAGCCACCAGAGGCUGGGAAAAGGUAAGGACAUAUUCUUCCCUAGAGCCUCCGGAGGGAGCAUAGCCCUGCCAACACCUUGAUUUCAAACCAGUGAUACUGAGUUUGGACUUUUGGCCUCCAGAACUGUGAGAAAAGAAGUCACUUAUUUUAGGCCAUCAAGUUUGUGGUACUGUAAUUUGUUACAGAAGCUACAGAAAACUAAUUCAACAUCUUUAAGUGCUAUUCGGCACACUACCACAAACAACUGUUUUUGUUUUGCUGUUGUUUGCCAAUCUGAUAUGUUAAAGACAUUAUCUCACUGUAUUUCUAUAGUUUCAUUUUUUAAACUUCUUUUACUUCUUACUUCUAUAUUGCUUUUAUUAUUAAAUUGGUUGCACCAACUGGGAACAACAGAUUUUAUUGUGUCUGCUAUCAACCUUAUCUCAGGCAACAGAUAGAAAUGAAUAAAAUUAACUCUUUAAAACAUAAGUUACAAAUAUUUUCCCCCCCAGUUUUACUUGAUGUUUUGUCACUGUGUUUAUGCCUUUUUUGAGGGGAUGAGGGUACAUCCCAGUGGAAUUUUUUAAAUGUUGUUUAAUGCAGUGAAUUAUGUUAAACUCUCAUUGUCUCUGAAUUUUGUGUAAAAAAUUAGUUUUCUGUACCAAAGUUAUAUAAAAUUUCUGUCUUGGAAUUUCUAGUAAUUAUAA
This 1377-nucleotide long non-coding RNA is filed under the name Homo sapiens (human). RNAcentral describes it as "novel transcript". Lineage: Eukaryota; Metazoa; Chordata; Mammalia; Primates; Hominidae. The record is from RNAcentral.